This 274-nucleotide ribosomal RNA is filed under the name uncultured bacterium. Its description in RNAcentral is "partial 16S ribosomal RNA". It matches the Rfam family "Bacterial small subunit ribosomal RNA", at positions 523 to 796 of the family's 1533-position model. The record is from RNAcentral.
AUACAGAGGGUGCGAGCGUUAAUCGGAAUUACUGGGCGUAAAGCGUACGUAGGCGGACUGAUCAGUUGGGGGUGAAAUCCCAGGGCUUAACCCUGGAACUGCCUUCAAUACUGUCAGUCUUGAGAUUGGAAGACGUGAGUGGAAUUCCUAGUGUAGAGGUGAAAUUCAUAGAUAUUAGGAGGAACACCAGUGGCGAAGGCGGCUCACUGGUCCAAUACUGACGCUGAGGUACGAAAGCGUGGGGAGCAAACAGGAUUAGAAACCCUAGUAGUCC